This 220-nucleotide long non-coding RNA is filed under the name Elaeis guineensis (African oil palm). RNAcentral's name for it is "long non-coding RNA (EGUI_LNC036371)". The record is from RNAcentral. Lineage: Eukaryota; Viridiplantae; Streptophyta; Magnoliopsida; Arecales; Arecaceae.
UAGCCUCCUGAUUUGUGAAAGAGCGAAGAGUCAAAAUACUCAAGUAUAAGUCAAGACAUAUGAGGGAAUGAGUCAUAGGGAAGAAAGAGAUUCAUGCAGAUGAAGAAAAUACUAACAUGGAAGCAUAGGUGAGAGAAGAGAAUAAUGGUGUAGGAGAUUGGGCACCAAGAAAAAGAGGUGAAGAGUAUGAGCGAUCAGGGAGAGAGACAAAGAGAAGACG